CAAGACCUGCAGAGGGCAUCUUAAGAGAU
RNAcentral lists this non-coding RNA (29 nucleotides) under Rattus norvegicus (Norway rat). The record is from RNAcentral. Lineage: Eukaryota; Metazoa; Chordata; Mammalia; Rodentia; Muridae.